AAAGUUUUAGUAUAAGUUAAUAUAGGUUAUUGUCAAUAAUCAGAUUUUUAAACUUUA
This 57-nucleotide transfer RNA is filed under the name Oesophagostomum asperum. Its description in RNAcentral is "tRNA-Asp". Lineage: Eukaryota; Metazoa; Nematoda; Chromadorea; Rhabditida; Strongylidae. The record is from RNAcentral.